GUACCCCUCGAACCUAUUUUAUUCCUCUUCUCCCCUGUCCGGCCUUAAAUCCCAAGAAACCUCGAAUAACUAGAACCCGUCGAUUCCAAAUAACCAUCUCAAGUUUUCUGAAAUUCGAUACGUUUUCAAUACAUUAAGAGAGAGAAAGUUAUGGUGAAGAAGCCUUCUAACUUUUUGUUCUUCUUCAAGAGGCUAAACAAGAAAGCGAGCGGUGGCGAAGGCCGAGACGUUGGCAGUAGUGGUGGUUCAAGCAGGUGGAAGUUCAAGAGCUCCACCGGGUUGCGGUGGAAGACCCGGUUCAGCUUGCGUCUUUUGUUCGUGGAUAAUAUUCUUUUCAAGAUUGUGUCCAUUUUUGAAGCCAUAAUUCUGGUUGCAACUCUCUGUUUCUUCUUUCUCUGCUGCGGGUGCCACUUCUGAUCAUUUUCUUGAUAAUCUACUUGUAAGCAUCCUUAUUGCUUAUUUUAUAAUCUUGAAUUUUAACAUGUAAGGAUGUUUUUAAUUUUAUGGGCCAAUAAAAAUCGAAUGUCAAUGGUAGUGUAAAGAAUAAUUCUUUCGACUUGGCUACUUCAUUUUUUUUUUGUUAAUUAGUCUAAUGUUUUAAUUUUCAUUAUUCUUGUUAAUGUUUGUGUUCACUUCCCUGUAGAUUCAAUAUUUAGUGAUGUAAAGAAUCUAAUUUAACUAAAACAAAUUUUGGAAAAUUUUCCAAGGCAAAUCUCCUCCGUCCCAUCUCUCGGCCAUGACUCUACAUGCUUAAGAAGAAAUAUCAAGGUUACAUCAAUGAAUGAUGAAACAAUGCUCGUUUUUGAUAUAUACAGAGUACUUCGAAUAUAGUUUGUGACAGACAGCCGAGUGCGUGGUUAAAAAAUAAGAAAAAGUAUUUUAUUUGCCUGUAAUAUUAUUUUAUUGAAAAAUGUGUGGUUGAAAUGAUAUCAAAUCAUUAUUCAGGAAUAUAUUAUUUUUAAAGAACUUGAGUCAAAUUGGACUUUAAUUAAUAUUAAUAUAGGGGGUUUAAUAUUGGCAAUAAAUGGAAGUGAGUUAUAAUUAGCAAGCUUUGUUUAGUGGUAAGUGCUAUGUAUACACUCCCUCAUAUGGAUGGGGCUCACAUAAUAAAAUAUUCGUG
Molecule: long non-coding RNA, 1120 nt
Filed under: Olea europaea (common olive)
Lineage: Eukaryota; Viridiplantae; Streptophyta; Magnoliopsida; Lamiales; Oleaceae
Description: long non-coding RNA (OEUR_LNC005032)
Source: RNAcentral